Long non-coding RNA from Bos indicus x Bos taurus (hybrid cattle), 1038 nucleotides. NCBI's taxonomy places the organism in Eukaryota, Metazoa, Chordata, Mammalia, Artiodactyla, Bovidae. The record is from Ensembl.
AUGCAACUUGAAAAACUUUCAAACCGUAAAACAUUGUAUAAAGUGAAAAUUAAAAAUGACGCCCAGGAGCGUGCACGCCUUUAUGCAUGCGUGUCUCCUUCCCAGGCCUCCAAACGUGCAGUUCACCAGCCUCCAGCAGCCUGCCCCUACGGCUCUUCCUGGGCGGACUUGCUGGGGCCCCCAGAGCUGCCGUGCCCCGAGAGUGGGGAGCCUGGGGCCCUGUGGGUUGGCUGCUUCCCAGACGGUCCUUCUCAGCAGCUGCCAGAGCAGAGUGUCCAGUUGCCCAAGACUGGAGCACUCAGCCGCGCCUUCCUCCUACAGGCCCUGCUGGGUCAGGCCGAGGCCAGCCUCUCCGUGGACUCCUCCUGGCCCACCUGCCUCGUACUCCUGUCUUGUGUCCGUUCCAGAGCCAGCAGCCCACUCUGGGACCCCAGACCGUCCUCUGUACAGACACGCUCAGGCCUGCCCCGCCAUCCAGGGUUCCCUGGGAGGCGUGUGGGGACUGGGGGCUCCAGCCAGGACAGGGGUCUGAGUCGGGGAAUUACAUCAGCGUCAGAGGGCACCAGGGGAACAGCAGGGAGGGCCAAGUGUGGUGAGUGCCCGGGGGGCGGUGCAGGGCUGGGGCCCCUUCUCUGUGCUGUAAGUGGGGUGGGACCUCCUUCACAGCCGAGCCCUGAGCCCCGGGAUGCACCCAAGGUCACCGCGGGAGGUGGCGGAGCUGGGUUCUCAGCCUGGUCCCGGUCUGCAGCCCCGCCCGCAGCAGGUGUGGAUGGCCCCCUGCUGCCCUCCCCAGAGGCAUCGCCUGCCCCGAGGGCCCAGGCAAACACGGGACGGGGCGGGGUGGGGGGGCGCAGGGGAGCCGGCCUCGCCCGACAGCAUGUGCCAAGGGUGUGUGACAGCUGCCAGGGAACGGCCACCUCUGCAGAUGAACCCGCGCCCCCUUCUCUGACAAGGGCGGGCCCUAUGUGCAGAGCGCAAGGACUCGCCCCAGCCGUGUCCGGGAUGCACGGGGCCCUCACUGCCUGGGCAGAGCCGUAA